AAUUAAACAAACCAAAUGGCAUCACUGGUGGUUCUUUUUUUCACUCCGCUAAACUGUCAUCUCAAACAAAAACAAAUGGAUCAUACAACUGCUAUGAAUACAUUCGACUCGUUUGCUUCCAUCAAUCGGUAAGUGAGAAAGAUGAUUUCUCCCAUCAGUGCGGAUUUCCACUUCUAUCACAGCAGCCAACAACAUCCGUUUUCCUGCAGCAGUAACCUUCAACCCCUGUUGGCAAUGCCGGGGGACAGCAUCAACAGCAGCAGCAGCAGCAGAAUUUGACCAUGGUAUGGUAUUGCGAAGAACUUUCCCCAUUAGAGGUUCCGUGCUUCGCGCACAUUCAAAAUCCUCUUCAGACACGAAAACUCAACGACAAGGAGGUAUUUAUCAACUUGCUCAGCUGAAUUACCACCCGGAGGAACCCGAAUGCACUGAUUCCGUUGUAUAGUAGAAUGAAAAUAGGCGAGGUAAGCGAACGUAAUCGCAUGAUAUUUUAAUAGUUCGCAUUUUUAUCCGGAUCAUACAACUGCUAUGAAUACAUCCGACUCAAUCAAUCGGCGAGUGAGAAAGAUGAUUUCCCUCAUCACCACAUUGCUUAUUUCCACUUCUGUCACGCCAGCCAACAGCAUCAGCUUUCCCGCAGCAGUAUCCUUUAAGUCCAGGGUGCUAUUCCGGGCAACAGCAUCAUCAGUAACAGCAGCAGGACCUGGCCAUCGAUAGUAUUUCGAGCUAUUUUCCCCAUCGGAGAUCCCGUGCUUCACGCACAUUGAAGAAACCUCCUCAGCCACAUAUGUGUGUCAAGGAGAAAAAGGAGCUGGAUUCGAAUCGUCAAUCCAGACAACCCGAAUGCACCGAUUGCAUUAUAUAUCUUGUUUAUAUUUUAUAUGCAUUUUGUGUUUUUUUGAAUAAAAUGAUUAAAAUCGA
Long non-coding RNA from Toxorhynchites rutilus septentrionalis, 921 nucleotides. RefSeq lists it as uncharacterized. The transcript has 3 exons. The record is from RefSeq and is a predicted model, not a curated record. Lineage: Eukaryota; Metazoa; Arthropoda; Insecta; Diptera; Culicidae.